This 575-nucleotide ribosomal RNA is filed under the name Platerodrilus sp. UPOL A00575. RNAcentral's name for it is "eukaryotic LSU rRNA". It matches the Rfam family "Eukaryotic large subunit ribosomal RNA", at positions 678 to 1248 of the family's 3401-position model. Lineage: Eukaryota; Metazoa; Arthropoda; Insecta; Coleoptera; Lycidae. The record is from RNAcentral.
GCAUGUACGCGAGUCAUUGGGACUAGCGAAACCUAAAGGCGAAAUGAAAGUGAAAGUCGGCCUCGCGCCGACCUAGGGAGGAUGGGUCGCGUUACGGCGCGACCCCGCACUCCCGGGGCGUCUCGUUCUCAUUGCGAGAAGAGGCGCACCAAGAGCGUACACGCUGGGACCCGAAAGAUGGUGAACUAUGCCUGGUCAGGACGAAGUCAGGGGAAACCCUGAUGGAGGUCCGAAGCGAUUCUGACGUGCAAAUCGAUCGUCGGAACUGGGUAUAGGGGCGAAAGACUAAUCGAACCAUCUAGUAGCUGGUUCCCUCCGAAGUUUCCCUCAGGAUAGCUGGCGCUCGCUUUUGCGAGUCUCAUCUGGUAAAGCGAAUGAUUAGAGGCAUUGGGGUCGAAACGGCCUCACGGCUUGCUUAAAACGUGAAGCCGCGAGAUCGGAUCAGAGUGCCAAGUGGGCCAUUUUUGGUAAGCAGAACUGGCGCUGUGGGAUGAACCAAACGCAGAGUUAAAGCUCCAAAAUCAACGCUUAUGGGAUACCAUGAAAGGCGUUGGUAACUUAAGACAGCAGGACGG